AGCGCAGCGAAAUGCGAUACCUAGUGUGAAUUGCAGAAUUCCGCGAAUCAUCGAGUUUUUGAACGCAAGUUGCGCCCGAGGCUCGUACCGAGGGCAUGUCUGUCUGAGCGUCCA
This 114-nucleotide ribosomal RNA is filed under the name Frullania parhamii. RNAcentral describes it as "partial 5.8S ribosomal RNA". It matches the Rfam family "5.8S ribosomal RNA", at positions 42 to 154 of the family's 154-position model. From Rfam's summary of the family: 5.8S ribosomal RNA (5.8S rRNA) is a component of the large subunit of the eukaryotic ribosome. The record is from RNAcentral. Lineage: Eukaryota; Viridiplantae; Streptophyta; Jungermanniopsida; Porellales; Frullaniaceae.